UGGUCAAGUUAUUAAGGGUGCAGGGCGGAUGCCUUGGCACUAGGAGCCGAUGAAGGACGUGAUAAGCUGCGAUAAGCUUCGGGGAGUUGCACGUAAACUUUGAUCCGAAGAUUUCCGAAUGAGGAAACUCACUUAGAGUAAUGUCUAAGUAUCAUUAAGUGAAUACAUAGCUUAAUGAGGGGAACUCAGGGAACUGAAACAUCUAAGUACCUGAAGGAAGAGAAAGAAAUUCGAUUCCGUAAGUAGCGGCGAGCGAACGCGGAUUAGCCCAAACCAAUAAAGUUUUCUUUAUUGGGGUUGCGGACAUAUCAUAACGAAGAGGUAUCGUAAUUGAAGAGGUUUGGAAAGACCCACCACAGAAGGUAAUAGUCCUGUAUGUUAAACGAGAAGACUUCAGAUAUGAUCCAGAGUACCACGGGACACGUGAAACCCUGUGGGAAGCAGGAGGGACCACCCUCCAAGGCUAAAUACUACCUAGUGACCGAUAGCGUAUAGUACCGUGAGGGAAAGGUGAAAAGAACCCCGGGAGGGGAGUGAAAUAGAACCUGAAACCCUGCACUUACAAGCUGUGGAAGCACAUUUCUUGUGUGACCGCGUACUUUUUGUAGAACGGGCCAACGAGUUACGUUAAGUAGCAAGGUUAAGCACUUAAGGUGCGGAGCCGUAGCGAAAGCGAGUUUUAACUGAGCGUUCAGUUACUUGACGUAGACCCGAAACCGGGCGACCUACCCAUGAGCAGGAUGAAGCGAAAGUAAAAUUUCGUGGAGGUCCGAACCCACGAGCGUUGAAAAGCUCGGGGAUGACUUGUGGGUAGCGGUGAAAUUCCAAUCGAGCCCGGAGAUAGCUGGUUCUCCCCGAAAUAGCUUUAGGGCUAGCCUCAAGGUGAGAGAUACGGAGGUAGAGCACUGAAUGUCCUAGGGGGUAUUGCACCUACCGAAGACUAUCAAACUCCGAAUGCCGUCAUCUUAUACUUGGGAGUCAGACUGUGGGUGAUAAGAUUCAUAGUCGAAAGGGCAACAGCCCAGAUCGUCAGCUAAGGUCCCUAAAUGUAAGUUAAGUGGUAAAGGAUGUGGGAUUGCACAGACAACCAGGAUGUUGGCUUAGAAGCAGCCACUCAUUCAAAGAGUGCGUAAUAGCUCACUGGUCGAGUGAUCCUGCGCCGAAGAUUUCCGGGGCUAAAACUUACUACCGAAGCUACGGCAUCAGUAAUGAUGGGUAGGGGAGCUUCCCAUACGGGUUGAAGCAUGACCGUAAGGACAUGUGGACAGUAUGGGAGUGAGAAUGUUGGCAUGAGUAGCGAGAUGUGGGUGAGAAUCCCACAGGCCGUAAACCCAAGGUUUCCAGGGGAAGGUUCGUCCGCCCUGGGUUAGUCGGGACCUAAGCUGAGGCCGAAAGGCGUAGGUGAUGGACAACAGGUUGAUAUUCCUGUACUACCGAUAACCGUUUGAGAGAAGGGAUGACACAGUAGGAUAAGCUAAGCACACUGUUGGUUAUGUGUGCCCAAGCAUUGAGGCAGUCAAAGCAGGCAAAUCCGCUUUGAUAAUGCUGGGAUGUGAUGGGGAGCGAAAUUUAGUAGCGAAGUAGCUGAUUUCACACUGUCAAGAAAAGUCUCUAUCGAGGUUAAAGGUACCCGUACCGCAAACCGACACAGGUGGGUGAGGAGAGUAUCCUAAGGCCAGCGAGAGAACUGUUGUUAAGGAACUCGGCAAAAUGACCCCGUAACUUAGGGAUAAGGGGUGCCACCAUCCGGUGGCCGCAGAGAAUAGGCCCAAGCGACUGUUUACCAAAAACAUAGGUUUCUGCUAAGUCGCAAGACGAUGUAUAGGAGCUGACGCCUGCCCGGUGCUGGAAGGUUAAGGGGAUCUGUUAGAGCAAUCGAAGCAGUGAACUUAAGCCCCAGUAAACGGCGGCCGUAACUAUAACGGUCCUAAGGUAGCGAAAUUCCUUGUCGGGUAAGUUCCGACCCGCACGAAAGGCGUAACGAUUUGGGCACUGUCUCAACAACAGACUCGGUGAAAUUGUAAUUCCGGUGAAGAUGCCGGAUACCUGCGACAGGACGGAAAGACCCCAUGGAGCUUUACUGUAGCUUGACAUUGGGUCUUGGUACUACAUGUACAGGAUAGGUGGGAGGCUUUGAAACCAGGACGCCAGUUUUGGCGGAGCCAUCCUUGGGAUACCACCCUUGUAGUACUGGGACUCUAACCAUAGGCCAUGAAUCUGGUCUUGGGACACUGUCAGGUGGGCAGUUUGACUGGGGCGGUCGCCUCCCAAAAGGUAACGGAGGCGCUCAAAGGUUCUCUCAGUACGGUCGGAAAUCGUACGUAGAGUGUAAAGGCAAAAGAGAGCUUGAUUGCAAGACAUACAGGUCGAGCAAGGAUGAAAAUCGGACUUAGUGAUCCGGUGGUUCUGCGUGGAAGGGCCAUCGCUCAACGGAUAAAAGCUACCCUGGGGAUAACAGGCUUAUCUCCCCCAAGAGUCCACAUCGACGGGGAGGUUUGGCACCUCGAUGUCGGCUCAUCACAUCCUGGGGCUGUAGUAGGUCCCAAGGGUUGGGCUGUUCGCCCAUUAAAGUGGUACGCGAGCUGGGUUCAGAACGUCGUGAGACAGUUCGGUCCCUAUCCGUCGCAGGCGUAGGAAAUUUGAGAAGACCUGUCCUUAGUACGAGAGGACCGGGAUGGACGUACCUCUGGUGUACCAGUUGUUCUGCCAAGGGCAUGGCUGGGUAGCUAUGUACGGAAUGGAUAAGCGCUGAAAGCAUCUAAGCGCGAAGCCAACUUCAAGAUAAGAUUUCCCACCGCAAGGGUAAGACCCCAGAAAGACUAUCUGGUUGAUAGGUCGAAGGUGUAAGUGCAGCAAUGUAUUUAGCUUAUCGAUACUAAUAGGUCGAGGACUUGACCAAU
This 2900-nucleotide ribosomal RNA is filed under the name Streptococcus pneumoniae. RNAcentral's name for it is "23S ribosomal RNA". It matches the Rfam family "Bacterial large subunit ribosomal RNA". Lineage: Bacteria; Bacillati; Bacillota; Bacilli; Lactobacillales; Streptococcaceae. RNAcentral also lists the same sequence under 1 other name. The record is from RNAcentral.